UAAGGUCACGGCGAGACGAGCCGUUUAUCAUUACGAUAGGUGUCAAGUGGAAGUGCAGUGAUGUAUGCAGUUGAGGCAUCCUAACAGACCGAGAGAUUUGAAC
RNAcentral lists this ribosomal RNA (103 nucleotides) under Thaumatococcus daniellii. RNAcentral's name for it is "4.5S ribosomal RNA". The record is from RNAcentral. Lineage: Eukaryota; Viridiplantae; Streptophyta; Magnoliopsida; Zingiberales; Marantaceae.